CCAGACACAGAGGCUUUGCUCUGGCACUACAAUGGUGUUGGAGAGGCCAUAGUGAAGUGUCUUCAGAGGGCAGUGAGCCCACAUGGAGGAAAUGCAAGGAAGACCCCGAGAUUCUCCACUCACGUAUCUUCUGAGGACCCGGUCUAUUAGUGGCUUAUAACUUGUCUCUUCCAGUAGGGAAGGCAGCUGUGUGGUUUUGGAUUUCAUAGUAAAAAGUUCCUGCUGUCACAAAGGGGAGGUAUGAAGAAGGUAUGAAGUCAAGAAGCAGAAAGAGGUGCAAAGCCAUCAAAUUACUCCUAACUUCUUUACUUCUUCUGCACAUAGCACAUUCCUAAAAGCCUACGUACAUGGCAGAAUUUACCAUGGGGUCUGUGGCAAACUGUUCUUGGGGUGGGCCAGACAGUGCUUCAAGGGAUACCCCAUUGCUGAGGGUCACAUUAAAGUCUUAGGAUCCCUAUACCUGCUGCUUACAGGUAGAAGAAAUCUGCAACCGUGGCACUUGACACAGAUCCUCUUUGACGUUGAACUGACAAGUUACUUGCAGAGUUUGAAUGGAGCAAAGGGAAAUUUUUCCAGAGGAAGCUACAAAUUUGCAGCAACUGCCAAGGAGGUGUGCAGCCAGUGCAAAGGUGUUACAUCCAGAGGUGCUAAGUACCUGAGCUCCUUCCUGACACCAGUGGGGCAGAAUGCUCUGCAUCUCUCUGAAGCUCUGUGUCUGGACCUCUCUCAGCUGACCCAUGGUUCUUUGUACCUUCUUGCUCCCUGCCUUGGCACCCAGGGCCACAGUUUAUAAAUGCACAGGGUCCAACUCUGCCCCGUCCCCUUGUUGCUGCUGCUGCUGGAACUAUUCACUUUUGGAUGUCUUGCUGAGAGAAGCUUUG
Long non-coding RNA from Gallus gallus (chicken), 881 nucleotides. The record is from Ensembl. Lineage: Eukaryota; Metazoa; Chordata; Aves; Galliformes; Phasianidae.